The sequence is a regulatory RNA element, 79 nucleotides long. It matches the Rfam family "hya RNA". The record is from Rfam.
UGCGUCACGCAAGUGGGCCGAGGGUCGACUCCUGUGACGAAGGGGCUUCGAGGCACUGUCCCGCCCCGGAAAGUGGCAA